This is a long non-coding RNA of Gossypium raimondii (Peruvian cotton), 721 nucleotides long. RefSeq lists it as uncharacterized. The record is from RefSeq and is a predicted model, not a curated record. The transcript has 2 exons. NCBI's taxonomy places the organism in Eukaryota, Viridiplantae, Streptophyta, Magnoliopsida, Malvales, Malvaceae.
AAAGUUACGCCCAAAACGAUGCUGGAUAAUGCACUCUAUAUAAGUUUAAAAAAAUUAUAAAAAUAUGUUCUCUCUUCUAUUUAGAAAAAAGGCUUUUUUUUUUCUCUCAAACACCCACUUGGCCGGCGAGUCGGUGAGUCUCCGACGUUGCCAUAGGCUAUUGGCGACGGAGACGUCGCCUCCGGUGGUUGAAGUUCCCAAAAGUUUCCUCUGAGCCUUUUCACUCGUAGAACGCGAAUCUGGGGUUAAUUCCCAGAAAUCCGGUCAAAGCUCAAUAAAAGGCCUUGAAAUUUUUUCAGUUUCUCUUUUUCCAAACAACGCCUUUCGAGUUAGAGGGGAUCGUCCUUCAUCGGGGAUAGAGUGCUUGGCCAUGACGGCGGUGGAAUAUGAAGGGUCGUUAGGUACUUUUGUGGUGUUGGCAAGGAGACUUUCAGUCAAUGUCGGUGAGAGUGGCGCCACUUGCCAUUUUGGUGAAAUGGUGGCAGAGUGCAGUCUUAGGGGGUGGGUAACCUCGGGUGGGGGCUAUUAGGCUUUGGGUUAAUGGGCUUUGGUUUUUUAAUUAAUUUUUAAAUGGAUUUUAUUUUUGGGCCAGACAAACUUGGGCCUUUACAGUGUAUAUUGUCAAUUACGUAGAAUAAUUCCUUCUCAAAAAGACAAAAAAAGGAAACUUGUUUAUUUUUCACGUGUAAUUUUAGAUAAGAUGGGAUCAUAUCUUACCAAA